Long non-coding RNA from Anopheles merus, 496 nucleotides. RefSeq lists it as uncharacterized. The transcript has 3 exons. The record is from RefSeq and is a predicted model, not a curated record. NCBI's taxonomy places the organism in Eukaryota, Metazoa, Arthropoda, Insecta, Diptera, Culicidae.
UGCUUUUCAUACCUACUGCAUGUAAUCAGUACGUCAGCGUUGAGUUGAAGACCUACGUACCAUGUUAUCAGCAGUCAGUUCCCUUUAUAUUCCAUACACCUCUGAUUGCAUAUUAUAUCACUCAAUGAAGCACACAGUAUUAUGUAUAUUGUCAAAUUAUUAAAUUAAUAAACAGGUGGUCCCCGAGAUACUCGAUACCUCUAAUACGCGAAUUCGGAGAUACGCGGUUUACUAAUUUUGGGGCCCCUUUCCGUUUCAAGUUCGUAGACUGAAAUUUCAGCUUCGUAUAGCAGUUUUAGAGCAGCUAUCUAGUUUCAUUCACGCAAGGUGCCUAGACAGACUACAAAUGGGUUCUUAGCUCUGAUUUUGGUAGCUAUGAUGGAUGGCGAUUUGUAUGGAGAUUUGCAGAUGACAUCCAGCUGUUCAAAUAGCUUACAAAAAUUCUCCUACGUUCAACACUCAUACUCUGUUUCUCUAUCUUUUUUUACAUUACCUU